This 253-nucleotide ribosomal RNA is filed under the name uncultured bacterium. RNAcentral describes it as "partial 16S ribosomal RNA". It matches the Rfam family "Bacterial small subunit ribosomal RNA", at positions 524 to 776 of the family's 1533-position model. The record is from RNAcentral.
GACAGAGGGGGCAAACGUUGCUCGGAAUCACUGGGCAUAAAGCGCGCGUAGGCGGCCAAGCAAGUGCGGUGUGAAAGCCCCCGGCACAACCGGGGAACUGCAUCACAUACUGCCUGGCUAGAGCUUGAGGGGGGAGAGUGGAACUCCUGGUGGAGCGGUGGAAUGCGUAGAUAUCAGGAGGAACGCCGGAGGUGAAGACGACUCUCUGGCUCAAUGCUGACGCUAAGGUCCGAAAGCUAGGGUAGCAAACGGG